RNAcentral lists this transfer RNA (76 nucleotides) under bacterium. RNAcentral's name for it is "tRNA-Thr". It matches the Rfam family "tRNA". Rfam says of the family: Transfer RNA (tRNA) molecules are approximately 80 nucleotides in length. Their secondary structure includes four short double-helical elements and three loops (D, anti-codon, and T loops). The record is from RNAcentral.
GCCGGGAUAGCUCAGUUGGUAGAGCAACGGUUUUGUAAACCGUGGGUCGGGGGUUCAAUUCCUCUUCCCGGCUCCA